RNAcentral lists this ribosomal RNA (254 nucleotides) under uncultured bacterium. RNAcentral describes it as "partial 16S ribosomal RNA". It matches the Rfam family "Bacterial small subunit ribosomal RNA", at positions 523 to 776 of the family's 1533-position model. The record is from RNAcentral.
UAGCAGAGGUCCCGAGCGUUGGUUCGGAAUUCACUGGGCGUAAAGGGUUGCGUAGGUGGUGAGGUAAGUCGGAUGUGAAAUCUCCGAGCUCAACUCGGAAAUGGCAUUGGAAACUACCUUGCUUGAGGGUUGGAGGGGGACUGGAAUACUUGGUGUAGCAGUGAAAUGCGUAGAUAUCAAGUGGAACACAGUGGCGAAGGCGAGUCCCUGGACAACUCGUGACACUGAGGCACGAAAGCUAGGGAGCAAACAGG